Solenopsis invicta (red fire ant) is the source of this 410-nucleotide long non-coding RNA. RefSeq lists it as uncharacterized. Lineage: Eukaryota; Metazoa; Arthropoda; Insecta; Hymenoptera; Formicidae. The record is from RefSeq and is a predicted model, not a curated record. The transcript is spliced from 3 exons.
AUUCUCUUAACAUCUAUUUAAUGUAUGUACGAAUAAAAUUCUAGAAGCCAAAUAAUUUUUUAAAAUAUUAAUUAUUUUGAGCGCUGCUAUAAUUUUUCUUUUACUUGUAUGUUACAGAUUAAAUCUGCAGAAUCUAAGAGGAUGUAGAAACCAUCGGGAGGCAUCGGCACCUCAGCAGAGGAACCUUUGGAUUUACAGGAUCUGAGAGGAGGAGGAAGCCUGGAUGAGGCAUCUGGCCUCGGCGGAGCAAUCUUGAAUAUCAUCGCAGCUUCGUGGUUGAGUAACUCCGCUGGUUGCGCAUCGGGUCGGUGAGUCAAAAAACAAUUUUUAUUUUCUUAUUUUAAUGCUUAAAUAUCCUGCGCAGGACAAAAGAGGAUAAUGAAAGAAAGAGUUUGGUAAUAACUAUCAAA